This 1468-nucleotide long non-coding RNA is filed under the name Triticum aestivum (bread wheat). RNAcentral describes it as "long non-coding RNA (TAES_LNC018049)". The record is from RNAcentral. Lineage: Eukaryota; Viridiplantae; Streptophyta; Magnoliopsida; Poales; Poaceae.
CUGUGGCAAUGUCGGAAGGUUUUCACAGCCUGGAUGCACAUAAGAAUCGUAGAACAAAAAAUUAGAGCUUAUGAUCAUUUAAUUAAUUUUACCAUAAAGACAAAACUGAUGGCCUACUCGACUUGGUCUCUAUAUACAGACAAGAGACUAUAAACAUAGGAAAACUAAAUUAGACCCAGAAAGUAAAAAAAAGUUUUAGUCACCUUUCUAUAAAAAAACCAUGUUAUAAUCCCCUAGGCCUUUGGCACCCAGAUUAUGGCGAUCAUCUCCUAUCACAGGUAAAAUUCCUUGCUCCCAGGUCGCCCUGAUGUGGCUGUACUUAAGCUCCUUCAUCUUGUUCUGUUUCCAAAGGCCUUUAGCACCCAGAUUAUGGCGAUCAUCUCCUAUCACACAUAAACUUCCUUGCUCCCAGGUCGCCCUGAUGUGGCUAUACUUAAGCUCCUUCAUCUUGUUAUGUUUCCGAUCGGGUGAGCCACCACAUCUCCCAAAUAUUGGUUAAUCUCUGCGAACAAUAGGCACACCAAAGCAUCACCACAUCAGGCAGGCGGAAGAAAACCAAUACCACAGUACAGCAGCAGGAACCACACACAACCAUGCUUUUGGCCAAUAAUCGUUAUUGCAACAAUCACAAAUGAAUGAAUCUUGCAUCAUGGACUGGACAAAAUAAUGUAACAGUCUUAGCCUCUCAUAAAGCAUAGCUUGGAGAUGAGUUCAAUUUCUGGUGCUUGUAUUUCAUCAAACAUGUUAUGUGCAAGAACUCUUAUUCUUCCCCUUUCAUGGCGCCUGUGCUUGCUCUACCAAGCAGCAUCUGCUCCAGAACACCCAUGUUCUGCUCGGUUUGUAGGCGAUGCAGCGCUCGCAGCGAAGGUUGGCCACCGGCUUCGCGAGGCAGAGGAGGUCGCCACAUGUGCAUAGCUGCGCCGGAGACGUGACAGAGGAGGACGCAUCGCCGGCGUCCAGUCCAACGCAUGCGAGCGCGCCGAGCUAGGGAGCGCCAUCCAAGAGGUGGAGAGGGCGUGAGGGGGCACUUUUUCCGACGGAGAGUCGCCACCGGAGACACGCCCGUGAUGUACGCGACGCCAUGGCUGUAACCCCAGCCACAGGCGAGGUGUUGCGGGGCGAGCACCGGUGACCGGGAGCGGCGGAUCCAGCCAUCUUGGCGGACGGAGGGGUCGGAGAGCAGCUCGUGAGGCUGCUGCGCAGUGGGGGGCGUUGGCGGAAUUGGCCGGCGUUGGCCGCGGCACGAGGGGUCACACGAGAGAGGGAGAGAUGUGCUGCUAGAGGGAUGGAUCGGUGGGGGAUUCGGCGGAUCCGGCAGCUGCCGAAGCUGCGAGGUAAGAGGAGGGGAAGGGGAGGGCCGACGUCGAGGUGUGGGAGUUAAGAGUUGGUCGGUGGCGGCGAUUUGUGGGAGACGAUGAUAGAGGGGCUGCGGAGGACUUAACUAAGAAAUAAAGGAAAUGCUUAUUCA